This 83-nucleotide transfer RNA is filed under the name Actinospica durhamensis. RNAcentral's name for it is "tRNA-Pro". The record is from RNAcentral. Lineage: Bacteria; Bacillati; Actinomycetota; Actinomycetes; Catenulisporales; Actinospicaceae.
GGCCCGUCGUCUAGCGGCCUAGGAUGACCAACGCUCCUUCGGGAGAUUGGUAGGCGUGGGUUCGAAUCCCGCCGGCGUCACCA